CCUGUACUAGAAUGGAUCUCUGAACACCACAAACUGUACUAGAAUGGAUCUCUGAACACCACAACCUGUACUAGAGUGGAUCUCAGAACACCACAAACUGUACUAGAAUGGAUCUCUGAACACCACAACCUGUACUAUAAUGGAUCUCUGAACACCACAACCUGUACUAGAAUGGAACUCUGAACACCACAACCUGUACUAGAAUGGAUCUCUGAACACCACAACCUGUACUAGAAUGGAUCUCUGAACACCACAAACUGUACUAGAAUGGAUCCCUGAAUACCACAACGAUACACACAUGCAAUACAAAGUAAUAUAGGGUUUCACAACAAACAUGUGGCUACACAGUGUCUGAGACAAAUGGAAUACAGAAAUAUCGAUCAUGUUUUGAUAUUCACAGGAAACUCAUUACAGAUGGGCUGGUGAACAUGUACUCCAGUUUGUUCAUGAGACACUUAACAUCCUAUUCUGAUCGCUAUAACAACGAUAUGGUACAGGAAUGUCUAAAUUUGAGAGGCUAAAAACUUGCCUCAUUACAUCACAUGUCACAUUGGCCUGCUCUCGCUGUGCACAAAGACAACUGUCUCUUAAACUCACUUCAGUCAGAAUUGGAAAGUCCAGGAGAAAAAUAGAGGACCAUUACUUUAAAGGGAUAUUUCAGGAUUUGGCAAUGAGGCCCUUGACUUCUACAGAGUCAAUUGAACUUGUGGAUACCAAUUUCCUGUCUCUUCAUCCAGUAUGAAGGAAGUUAGAGGUAGUUUAGUGAGCCAAUGCUAGCUCGCGUUAGCGCAAUGACUGGAAGUCUAUGGGUAUCUACUAGCAAUGACUGGAAGUCUAUGGGUAUCUACUAGCAUGCUAGCAGAUACCCAUAGGCUUCCAGUCAUUGCGCUAACGCUAGUUAGCAUUUACACUAGCACUAGUUAAUCAACUUCCUUCAAACUUCACACAGAGAUAAUAAUGGUAUCUACGAGUUCAUCUGACUUUGGGGUAGUAGACAAAGUCAAAAUCCCAAAGUGUCCCUUUAACCCCACACACAGGCUUUAAAAUUGCACUCAGAAGACAAUUUAGGAUCCACAGAAACGAGCUGUUCUGAAAAACCAUGUUUGUUUCAUUCGUCUGAUCAUUUUUGACAAAGGUCAUGUUAAUUAUUAAACCACUCUAAAUCGGGUCUUAAUUUAAUUUUUCUGCUUCCGAGACAGCUGAUACCCUGCCGUCAUACUCUACUCUCUGCUUCCGAGACAGCUGAUACCCUGCCGUCAUACUCUACUCUCUGCUUCCGAGACAGCUGAUACCCUGCCGUCAUACUCUACUCUCUGCUUCCGAGACAGCUGAUACCCUGCCGUCAUACUCUACUCUCUCCCACUCGGCCAAUUUAGAAAUGAUUGCUUGCUGCGUACUUGAUGACCAGAAACUGAUUUUCCACCCACUUCAUAGAGCCAGGGUAAAUUUAGAACAGCACGAAGUAAUCAAUGUUGUGGGGAUUGAGAAUAUGGAUGACUAGCUGGUUGGGACUCAUUGACCUUGUAGCUUGAGGGUUAAAACGGCCUUCACUGCCCUUCAAAGCCUGGAGUAGAAUAGCUAGUUCUAAUGAUCCAGAAUAUGAAUCAACAUCACAUACCCUUUGAGCCGGAUGGAUAGAGUACAAACAGACCCUCUGAUUAGGCUUCUGGUUUGUAAGGAUCUGCUAUCUGCCGUUCAAAAUGAAUUAAGUCAAGGUCUGUUUUCCCUGUUAACAGUAUAAUGGAAUAUGAAUGCCACCAGUAUUUGACGUUGAAAGGUGCCAAUAAAUAUUUACUUUUUGU
This 1802-nucleotide long non-coding RNA is filed under the name Salmo salar (Atlantic salmon). RNAcentral describes it as "lncRNA (ENSSSAG00000101399.1)". The record is from RNAcentral. Lineage: Eukaryota; Metazoa; Chordata; Actinopteri; Salmoniformes; Salmonidae.